UGUAGGAGUGAGCCUGCUCGCGAUAACGGUUUUUCAGUCAAUGAUGCAGCGACUGACAGACCGCUAUCGCGAGCAGGCUCACUCCUACA
This 89-nucleotide unclassified non-coding RNA is filed under the name Pseudomonas koreensis. The record is from RNAcentral. Lineage: Bacteria; Pseudomonadati; Pseudomonadota; Gammaproteobacteria; Pseudomonadales; Pseudomonadaceae.